CCUAACACAUGCAAGUCGAGCGGUAACAGAAAGAAAGCUUGCUUUCUUUGCUGACGAGCGGCGGACGGGUGAGUAAUGCCUGGGAAUAUGCCUUAGUGUGGGGGAUAACUAUUGGAAACGAUAGCUAAUACCGCAUAACGUCCUUGUUCAUUACGAGCGGGACCAAAGAGGGGGACCUUCGGGCCUCUCGCGCUAAGAUUAGCCCAGGUGGGAUUAGCUAGUUGGUGAGGUAAAGGCUCACCAAGGCAACGAUCCCUAGCUGGUCUGAGAGGAUGAUCAGCCACACUGGAACUGAGACACGGUCCAGACUCCUACGGGAGGCAGCAGUGGGGAAUAUUGCACAAUGGGGGAAACCCUGAUGCAGCCAUGCCGCGUGUAUGAAGAAGGCCUUCGGGUUGUAAAGUACUUCAGUCGUGAGGAAGGCAUUGUAGUUAAUAGCUGCAGUGCUUGACGUUAGCGACAGAAGAAGCACCGGCUAACUCCGUG
Molecule: ribosomal RNA, 486 nt
Filed under: uncultured bacterium
Lineage: Bacteria
Description: bacterial SSU rRNA
Rfam family: Bacterial small subunit ribosomal RNA
Source: RNAcentral